This 253-nucleotide ribosomal RNA is filed under the name uncultured bacterium. RNAcentral describes it as "partial 16S ribosomal RNA". It matches the Rfam family "Bacterial small subunit ribosomal RNA", at positions 524 to 776 of the family's 1533-position model. The record is from RNAcentral.
UACGGAGGGGACUAGCGUUGUUCGGAAUUACUGGGCGUAAAGCGCACGUAGGCGGAUUUGUAAGUCAGGGGUGAAAUCCCGGGGCUCAACCUCGGAACUGCCUUUGAUACUGCAAAUCUCGAGUCCGGAAGAGGUGAGUGGAAUUCCUAGUGUAGAGGUGAAAUCCGUAGAUAUCGGGAGGAACACCAGUGGCGAAGGCGGCCAUCUGGACGGUGACUGACGCUGAGACGCGAAAGCGUGGGGAGCAAACAGG